RNAcentral lists this unclassified non-coding RNA (379 nucleotides) under uncultured Actinomycetes bacterium. RNAcentral's name for it is "uncultured actinobacterium contains 16S-23S intergenic spacer region". Lineage: Bacteria; Bacillati; Actinomycetota; Actinomycetes. The record is from RNAcentral.
UCCGGUUUGGCACCGGCAGUCUCCCAUGAGUCCCCGACAUUACUCGCUGGCAACAUGGAACAGGGGUUGCGCUCGUUGCGCCACUUAAGGCAACACCUCACGGCACGAGCUGACGACAGCCGUGCAGCACCUGUGCGGGCUCCCGAAGGAGCGCCGUGUUUCCACGGUUUCACCCCGCAUGUCAAGCCCUGGUAAGGUUCUUCGCGUUGCGUCGAAUUAAGCCACAUGCUCCGCCGCUUGUGCGGGCCCCCGUCAAUUCCUUUGAGUUUUAGCCUUGCGGCCGUACUCCCCAGGCGGGGUGCUUAAUGCGUUAGCGUCGGCACAGAGCGGGUCAAUCGCCGCCCCACACCUAGCACCCAUCGUUUACGGCUAGGACUAC